CUCAUUUAAGGGUUGGCAGUGGAGGAGAAGGUAUCUUGCUGGAGGUUUCCAUGUAACUGAAGUCUUCUAAAGGUCAGACUGCCCCCUUGCCAUAUGCCAUGUGGCAAUGAAAUGUAAUGGAAUAUCAGUGGGAAGGUUCCCCCUCUAGUGCCAUACCACCAACACAUAUUCAAUGCAUAUAUCAAAUAGACAUUUCCUUUUGGAUUUCCAACUUUCUUUAAGCCCUAUAUACAACGAUGAACAUCUUUGGCAUCUGUAAUACUACUGAUCUGUUCUGUCUAAACUUAAGCUGUAUCUUUGAGAAGAGACUUUGGCCAUUUGGUCCCUUUCAAAGGGAGACUUGAAGGUGCUGCACUUCAUUUUGGGAAACACAUUUUGAUUCGGCUCUAGGACUUCUGAUUUGUCCUCCUCAACUACUGCACAUAGCAAAGGGCUGAAAGCCAAUCCAGCUUUUUUGCUGAAGAUUCAGUGAGACAACACAGAUUGAUGUCCUUUUGCCUCUGCUACCAGGACAUCAUGCAAAAGGAGACCAAAGGAAUGGAUGAAGAUAGAAUGAG
Tympanuchus pallidicinctus (lesser prairie-chicken) is the source of this 557-nucleotide long non-coding RNA. RefSeq lists it as uncharacterized. Lineage: Eukaryota; Metazoa; Chordata; Aves; Galliformes; Phasianidae. The transcript is spliced from 5 exons. The record is from RefSeq and is a predicted model, not a curated record.